UCUGUUUAUGCACUGACUGGCAAACCAGUUCCUGAAACUGGUGCUGCAAUAUCCGGAGCUGCUGAAGCUCUUCUGUGUGAUGUUGCCUCACUGUUUCUCAAUGUAAUUGUGCACAGCUUCUCGUUCAUAUUCGAUUGCAAGAACAGUAGAAUUUUGGUUUGUACCCAUUGCACUGAAAAGUGCAAAAACCCUCUUGCAACGUGAUGAAGACGAAGACGAAGAAGGAGGAGAAGGAGAUAGUGUUGUGCGAUUGAAGUCGGAGAUUGCUGCAAAGACGACGUUGUUGUGCAGCAACAAUGGCGAGUCCAGUGGAGGUUAUCCCAGGCUGGUCCGAUAUGAACGAUCGCCUGCACAAUACUCUUGUUCAACUCAAUCGCCUCAUGGAACAUUACGCAGACGGGCCUCCAUCUGAUGACCUGCGACACGCCGACGUCGACAAGCCUGGGUGUGUGUCGGAAGAAUGCCUGGAGACUGAUAUUCAAGACAUAUUGAAAGAAGCCAAGCAGCGGUUGAAGGACUUCACGGAAGCUAUGGGUUCCACGAACGGGAUUUCUCUUGGCACGAGCAGACGUGAACGUCAGGAGGCAGAGGAGAAGUCUCAAAGAAUUUUGGCAGAAUCAGAACACCAGAAAAAUUUUCUGAAAGAGGAGCUGGCUCGAGCGCAGCAUGAAGUAAUCAACCUCCACCAGAAAAUGAGAGGAUACGAAGACAGGUUUGCUUGCGAGCAGGCCGGUUUAUCUAACGCGAAAUUCUCGAGGGAACUGGAGAGAACCAAGAUUGAAUUGCUUGAGAAGUCAACAAGGCUCGAGAGUCUUCAAGCUGCAAAAGAGGCUGUUGAAAAGGAAUUCUCCGACUACAGAAAAACUCGGAAACAGGAGCUUGAAAGGGAGAAGACGCAGAAACUAUUUGAAACAAGACAAAUGAAGGAGAAUUUCCAGAAGGAAGUGAUGAGCGCUACUCAGCAACACCUGGACAGGGAGGUAGAAUUGCAAGAAUUCUGUCAAAACGAAAGGGACGCACACACGAAAACUGUCGAGGACAUGACAACGCUUCAUGCCGAGGAAAUCAAGAAAUUGAAGGCAGAGCAUGCAAUGAAACUCGAAGAAUGUUGUCACAAUCACGCUUUCCUUGAGUCGGAAUGGUUAGAAAAGGAGUUUGGGCUCCACAAGCAGAUCUCCGGAGCAGUUCAGGAGAAGUCACGCCACAUCCAACUGUUGUUUGAGGAGCACCUGAAGCUGCAAAGCCUGGAGACCCAGUUAGCUGCAGCACAGUCAGAGCUCGCCAAUGAGAAACUGGAGAGAAGCCAAAUCGAGAGCGAGCUUAAGUUUGCGAAGGUGGAUGUAUCGCUUGCGAAUGAGAAAGUGAAGAUGGGACUGGAAUCGCAUGAGCACACUCUCUCCAAUCUCACAAAUCUCCAAGACGAGAUGACGAACUUGAGGCGCACAUGUGCUGCUAAUAUUGCUAAACUGGAAGAGAAAGCGUUUGCAUUGCAGAAAAAUCUGUCAUGUGUGACCAACACAUGUGUGCAAAAUGAACAUGAGCUUCACUGCCAGUCAAGGAGGGUUGAAGAACUACAAAAGAACAUCCACAUCAAGCAGAAGGAGCUCAUGGCUUCAACCACUGAAGUACAAAGACUACAACAAGAGAUCAAAUGUAUGCAAAGUGAACUGAACGCCAAAGAAGAGGAAAAACGGGCCAUACAGCAAAAUUAUGAUGCUCAAUGCCAUCAGCUGCAAACACAAAUCUUCAAAUUACAAAUAGAUGAAAAACAAAAGUGUGAAGAUAUGGUAAACAAGACAAAAGACAAUCUGGAGACCCAGUUGCUGAGGCAAGCUCAACAGCAUACGAAAAUUGUGCAGAAACUGCAGAAGCAAUUCCGUGCCCAAUGGGAAGAAUACACAAAGACUGGAGGACCCUGUUUUUGAUGGACCUAGCUGACAGCAAGUGCGGAGGAAUUGAAAGAGAGAAGAACUGGAAACCUCAAGAUCAGAACGCCGCUACAACAGCUUGCAUGUUCAUCAAACUCGACAAAACACUCUCUAUUUAUGGUCUUCUUCGGAAACAGUAGUUUCACACUUCCACGAACCCAUGUUCUUGAAUUUGCAAGUGGAAAAGAAAGUCACAGUGACAGUGGCAUCCUUUGCAAUUCCAACACACUGCAAGCAAGCAAUGAAUAAAUGAAGAAAUGAAUGAAGCCUACUCGGAACAAUGAAUGUACUGUAAUGUAAAUUAAAACGUGAAAUUUGAAGCACUGCAAUGUAAAUUAAAAUCAAAACGAAAAGAAAAUCAGAAGAAAAAAGUAAUAACAAUAAACAAAAAAUACCUCUUGCAAAAAGGUGUUGGAAAUUUGCACCGAUGGACAUCAUCAGGUGCCAGCCGUUCCAAAGCAUAGUGCCUCCUAUUCUGUAAAAUUGACGAUGCUAAAAUCAAAAUAUAAAUUUGAAGCAAACUUUGAAGUAGAAGACCUUCGAUUUAAAAGGCAUGCAUGUGAUGUUAAAUCGCAAAUCAGGAGACAGUGAGAACUUGAUAAGUUCAAGAGUUUUAAAAUAUUUGACAAUUCAUGCUCAAUUACCAUAUUUGUCAUACUUGAAUGCUGUAGUUGCUUGUUGAAAUGCAAGGUACAGACAACCAUCACUACAAUGAAUAUAAAUCACUUCAAUUUAGAAGUGAUUUUUUCAUGGGA
This is an RNA transcript of Physcomitrium patens, 2683 nucleotides long. RefSeq lists it as uncharacterized. The record is from RefSeq and is a predicted model, not a curated record. Lineage: Eukaryota; Viridiplantae; Streptophyta; Bryopsida; Funariales; Funariaceae.